RNAcentral lists this ribosomal RNA (2902 nucleotides) under soil metagenome. RNAcentral describes it as "bacterial LSU rRNA". It matches the Rfam family "Bacterial large subunit ribosomal RNA". The record is from RNAcentral.
UUAAGCGACUAAGCGUACACGGUGGAUGCCCUGGCAGUCAGAGGCGAUGAAGGACGUGCUAAUCUGCGAUAAGCGUCGGUAAGGUGAUAUGAACCGUUAUAACCGGCGAUUUCCGAAUGGGGAAACCCAGUGUGUUUCGACACACUAUCAUUAACUGAAUCCAUAGGUUAAUGAGGCGAACCGGGGGAACUGAAACAUCUAAGUACCCCGAGGAAAAGAAAUCAACCGAGAUUCCCCCAGUAGCGGCGAGCGAACGGGGAGCAGCCCAGAGCCUGAAUCAGUGUGUGUGUUAGUGGAAGCGUCUGGAAAGGCGCGCGAUACAGGGUGACAGCCCCGUACACAAAAAUGCACAUGCUGUGAGCUCGAUGAGUAGGGCGGGACACGUGGUAUCCUGUCUGAAUAUGGGGGGACCAUCCUCCAAGGCUAAAUACUCCUGACUGACCGAUAGUGAACCAGUACCGUGAGGGAAAGGCGAAAAGAACCCCGGCGAGGGGAGUGAAAAAGAACCUGAAACCGUGUACGUACAAGCAGUGGGAGCACGCUUAGGCGUGUGACUGCGUACCUUUUGUAUAAUGGGUCAGCGACUUAUAUUCUGUAGCAAGGUUAACCGAAUAGGGGAGCCGAAGGGAAACCGAGUCUUAACUGGGCGUUAAGUUGCAGGGUAUAGACCCGAAACCCGGUGAUCUAGCCAUGGGCAGGUUGAAGGUUGGGUAACACUAACUGGAGGACCGAACCGACUAAUGUUGAAAAAUUAGCGGAUGACUUGUGGCUGGGGGUGAAAGGCCAAUCAAACCGGGAGAUAGCUGGUUCUCCCCGAAAGCUAUUUAGGUAGCGCCUCGUGAAUUCAUCUCCGGGGGUAGAGCACUGUUUCGGCAAGGGGGUCAUCCCGACUUACCAACCCGAUGCAAACUGCGAAUACCGGAGAAUGUUAUCACGGGAGACACACGGCGGGUGCUAACGUCCGUCGUGAAGAGGGAAACAACCCAGACCGCCAGCUAAGGUCCCAAAGUCAUGGUUAAGUGGGAAACGAUGUGGGAAGGCCCAGACAGCCAGGAUGUUGGCUUAGAAGCAGCCAUCAUUUAAAGAAAGCGUAAUAGCUCACUGGUCGAGUCGGCCUGCGCGGAAGAUGUAACGGGGCUAAACCAUGCACCGAAGCUGCGGCAGCGACGCUUAUGCGUUGUUGGGUAGGGGAGCGUUCUGUAAGCCUGCGAAGGUGUGCUGUGAGGCAUGCUGGAGGUAUCAGAAGUGCGAAUGCUGACAUAAGUAACGAUAAAGCGGGUGAAAAGCCCGCUCGCCGGAAGACCAAGGGUUCCUGUCCAACGUUAAUCGGGGCAGGGUGAGUCGACCCCUAAGGCGAGGCCGAAAGGCGUAGUCGAUGGGAAACAGGUUAAUAUUCCUGUACUUGGUGUUACUGCGAAGGGGGGACGGAGAAGGCUAUGUUGGCCGGGCGACGGUUGUCCCGGUUUAAGCGUGUAGGCUGGUUUUCCAGGCAAAUCCGGAAAAUCAAGGCUGAGGCGUGAUGACGAGGCACUACGGUGCUGAAGCAACAAAUGCCCUGCUUCCAGGAAAAGCCUCUAAGCAUCAGGUAACAUCAAAUCGUACCCCAAACCGACACAGGUGGUCAGGUAGAGAAUACCAAGGCGCUUGAGAGAACUCGGGUGAAGGAACUAGGCAAAAUGGUGCCGUAACUUCGGGAGAAGGCACGCUGAUAUGUAGGUGAAGCGACUUGCUCGUGGAGCUGAAAUCAGUCGAAGAUACCAGCUGGCUGCAACUGUUUAUUAAAAACACAGCACUGUGCAAACACGAAAGUGGACGUAUACGGUGUGACGCCUGCCCGGUGCCGGAAGGUUAAUUGAUGGGGUUAGCCGCAAGGCGAAGCUUGAUCGAAGCCCCGGUAAACGGCGGCCGUAACUAUAACGGUCCUAAGGUAGCGAAAUUCCUUGUCGGGUAAGUUCCGACCUGCACGAAUGGCGUAAUGAUGGCCAGGCUGUCUCCACCCGAGACUCAGUGAAAUUGAACUCGCUGUGAAGAUGCAGUGUACCCGCGGCAAGACGGAAAGACCCCGUGAACCUUUACUAUAGCUUGACACUGAACAUUGAGCCUUGAUGUGUAGGAUAGGUGGGAGGCUUUGAAGUGUGGACGCCAGUCUGCAUGGAGCCGACCUUGAAAUACCACCCUUUAAUGUUUGAUGUUCUAACGUUGACCCGUAAUCCGGGUUGCGGACAGUGUCUGGUGGGUAGUUUGACUGGGGCGGUCUCCUCCUAAAGAGUAACGGAGGAGCACGAAGGUUGGCUAAUCCUGGUCGGACAUCAGGAGGUUAGUGCAAUGGCAUAAGCCAGCUUGACUGCGAGCGUGACGGCGCGAGCAGGUGCGAAAGCAGGUCAUAGUGAUCCGGUGGUUCUGAAUGGAAGGGCCAUCGCUCAACGGAUAAAAGGUACUCCGGGGAUAACAGGCUGAUACCGCCCAAGAGUUCAUAUCGACGGCGGUGUUUGGCACCUCGAUGUCGGCUCAUCACAUCCUGGGGCUGAAGUAGGUCCCAAGGGUAUGGCUGUUCGCCAUUUAAAGUGGUACGCGAGCUGGGUUUAGAACGUCGUGAGACAGUUCGGUCCCUAUCUGCCGUGGGCGCUGGAGAACUGAGGGGGGCUGCUCCUAGUACGAGAGGACCGGAGUGGACGCAUCACUGGUGUUCGGGUUGUCAUGCCAAUGGCACUGCCCGGUAGCUAAAUGCGGAAGAGAUAAGUGCUGAAAGCAUCUAAGCACGAAACUUGCCCCGAGAUGAGUUCUCCCUGACCCUUUAAGGGUCCUGAAGGAACGUUGAAGACGACGACGUUGAUAGGCCGGGUGUGUAAGCGCAGCGAUGCGUUGAGCUAACCGGUACUAAUGAACCGUGAGGCUUAACCUU